GCGAGCAAAAAAAAGAAAAAAGAAGACAACACAACGGAUCAACACGCCAUCUAUUCCUUCAUGGGGAGGCAACUCCCCUGCUGAGCCACCGCCUCCUCUCCCCUUCCCUCACAGCACCUUUUCUCCGCCGUCUUCCUUGCGCCUUUGACAGUCGUGCCCGGAGGAGGUCGUCACCGGCGCCCGCAUCCUCGGCUCCCGCCGCCGAUUUGCCCCGCAGUUAGCCCCCACCCUUCUCUUCUUCGUGCUCUCUUAGGCGCUGGUCAAGGUGUGAUGCAGGACCUUCCCUUCUUCCCCUACUGCCGCUAGCGGCGACCCCAAGUGCGACCGUCGAUUGGCGGGCGAGGAAGAGGACCGCGCCCAAAUCGCCUCCAUUGUGAUUCGCGUCCACCUCCAACGACCGGCAGGACCCGUGAUAUGGCGACUCCCAGGGCGCUGCCGGAGGGUCCGACGAGGAAAUCGACCCGAGUAAAAAUCUUUAGAGGUCCAGUGCUCCAACAACUCUAUCAUCCAAUUUUCUGACCGGUACCAAGGUAAAGAUUGCUGGUGGAGCAGAUGGAGAGGACAGAGUCAAGCUGUGUGCUCUGAGAAAAAUGGAUGGUUGAUUUGUGGAAUUUAUGAUAGAUUUAAUGGACGUGAUGCAGCUGAUUUUCUAGCAGUAACUCUAUAUGAUAACAUAGUAUAUUACCUGUACUUGUUAGAGUGUCGUAUCAAGCAACAAGAUGUCCUAUAUAGCACAUCAGAGGACUCCCUUAAUGGGGUUAAAAGUUAAUUCGCAUUAGCCAUGGAAAUUGCAGAGAAUGAAGAUGUAAAACUUUCUAAAAGUUUUCGAGCUGGUGUGCUGAAUUGCCUCACUUCUGCUGUUGAGCAAGCUGAGAAUGAUUUCUUAUGCAUGGUUGAACAAGAUAUGGAUGAUAGACCAGAUUUAGUUUCAGUUUGAUCUUGUGUCCUGGUUGUGCUUCUUCAGGGAACAGAUUUGUGCAUUCUAAAUCUUGGGGAUAUAUAGUAGGGUUGUGCUUGCUUCCACGCCAUGAAUACUCUGUUGCUGCUGUUACACAUUACUCUUAUGGUUAUUGUUUGUUUCUCA
This is a non-coding RNA of Triticum urartu, 1084 nucleotides long. NCBI's taxonomy places the organism in Eukaryota, Viridiplantae, Streptophyta, Magnoliopsida, Poales, Poaceae. The record is from RefSeq and is a predicted model, not a curated record.